UCUGUCUUCACAGAGCCGUUCCCGUUACUCACAAUGAAAGUCUCCAAAAGCUUUGUGGCCACGGUUUGUGAUUAUUUCCAUACUGCUUGUUCUCGCUGCAGUGGUAGUUAUUCUUUUAGCCGUCUUUCUGACUAGAGAUGCUGGUCCGCAAACAUGGAAAAGUUACUACAGAGGAAAUUUCAGAAUAUUGAAUGUUCCCUACAACGAGAGCCUGGCAUCGAGCAACUCCACGGAGUUCUCUGAGUUGGCCGAUGACAUUCAGACACAACUGAACUUGGUGUAUUCAGAAUCAGAAUUGUCCAAGGAAUUCAGUCGUGGACAAGUUGUAGAAUUCAGGUACGUUCUUGACUUUUCACACCCAAUGCUCGUUAUGUUAAAGUUGUGAGGUUUUCAUAGAAUCAUGAUAUCAUCUUUACAGCUUAAUUUGUUCUGGUCACUGCCUGAUCACAACGUUUCUGGGUCUUCGACAGACAGGUGAUGACAGCACAGAAACUGGCCCUUCGGCCCAACUUAUCCAUACUGACCCAUUAGCCUGAGUUUGGCCCAUAUGCUGCUUGACCUUUCCCAUCUGUGUACCUGUCCAAAUACCCUUUAAACAUUGUCAUUGUAUCUACCUCAUAGCUUCCUCUGUCUCAUCCCAUAUACAACCACCCUCUGCACGAAGAAAUUGCCCCUCAGAUUUCUUUCAUAUCUCUCACCAAAAACUUAUGCUUUCUGCUUUUAGACCCCCUGACUGGUGGAAAAAACUGUGACCAUUCACCUUAUCUAGUCUGUGGAAUUCUCUGCCUCAGAGGGCGGUGGAGGCCGGUUCUCUGGAUGCUUUCAUGAGAGAGCUAGAUGGGGUUCUUAAAAAUAGCGGAGUCAGGGGAAAUGGGGAGAAGGCAGGAACGGGGUACUGAUUGGGGAUGAUCAGCCAUGAUCACAUUGAAUGGCGGUGCUCGGCUCGAAGGACAAAAUGGCCUACGCCUGCACCUAUUGUGUAUUGUCUAUUGUCUAUGACCCUCACAAUUAUAGUCACCCCUCAGUCUCGUACGUUCCAAAGACAAAAAUCCCAGCCCUUUCAGACGCAGCCUAUAAUUCAAGCCCUCCUUAUCCAGUAACAUCCUUAUUCAGUAACAUCCUCAGCACCCUUUCCAGCUGAAUGACAUCCUCCCCCCAAACACAACAUGUUCUCACCAACGAUAGACACAAAAUGCUGCAGUAACUCAACGGGACGGGCAGCAUCUCUGGAGAGAAGGAAUGGGUGACGUUUCGAGUCAAGACCCUUCUUCAUUGUGUUACUCCAGCAUUUUGUUUCUUUUUACCAGUUUAAACCAGCAUCUGCAGUUCUUUCCUACACAUGUUCUCACCAACUACAUGUAACAUGAUAUCUCAACUCCUAUAUUGAUGAAGAAAGACUCACUUCACAGCCCGAUCGUCCCGGGCACCACUUGGAGGGAACUGUGUAUCACCAGGUCCCUCUGCCCCACCACACUCCCUUGGCCUCUGUCAUUGGAUAUUCCCCUGCCCUGACUACACUGACCAUAUUGCACCAACCUACACUUGUCAGGGUUAAAUUCCAUCUGCCACUUGCAGUCAUAGAGUGAUACAUCGUGGAAACAGGCCCCUCAUCCCAAUUUGCCCACACCAACCAACAUGCCCCAUCUAUACUAGUUCCACCUGUCUGUGUUUGGUCCAUAUCCCUCUAACACUGUCCUAUCCAUGUACCUGUCUAAAUGUUUCUUAAAUGUUGUGAUAUUACAUGUCUCAACUACCUGCUCUGGCAGCUUGUUCCCUUCACCCACCACCCACUUUGUUAAAAAGCUGCCCCUCAUGUUUCUGUUAAACUUUCCUCUCCUCACUAUAAACCUAUGGCCUCUGGUUCUUGAUUCCCUAACUCUGGACAAAAGAUUCUAUAACAAUUACAGCACGGAAACAGGCCAUCUCGGCCCUACAAGUCCAUGCCGAACAUCUUUUUUCCCUUAGUCCCACCUGCCUGCACUCAUACCAUAACCCUCCAUUCCCUUCUCAUCCAUAUGCCUAUCCAAUUUAUUUUUAAAUGAUACCAACGAACCUGCCUCCACCACUUCCACUGGAAGCUCAUUCCACACCGCUACCACUCUCUGAGUAAAGAAGUUCCCUCUCAUGUUACCCCUAAACUUCUGUCCCUUAAUUCUGAAGUCAUGUCCUCUUGCUUGAAUCUUCCCUAUUAUCAAAGGGAAAAGCUGACCCACAUCAACUCUGUCUAUUCCUCUCAUCAUUUUAAAGGCCUCUAUCAAGUCCCCCCCUUAACCUUCUGCGCUCCAGAGAAUAAAGACCUAACCUAUUCAACCUUUCUAUGUAAUUUAGAUUUUGAAACCCAGGCACCAUUCUAGUAAAUCUCCUCUGUACUCUCUCUAUUUUGUUGACAUCCUUCCUAUAAUUGUGCGACCAAAGUUGUACACCAUACUCCAAAUUUGGUCUCACCAAUGCCUUGUACAAUUUUAACAUUACAUCCCUGCUUUUAUACUCAAUGCUCUGAUUUAUAAAGGCUAGCAUACCAAAAGCUUUCUUAACCACCCUAUCUAUAUGAGAUUCCACCUUCAAGGAACUAUACACGGUUAUUCCCAGAUCCCUCUGUUCAACUGUAUUCUUCAAUUCCCUACCAUUUACCAUGUACGUCUUAUUUUGAUUUGUCCUGCCAAGGUGUAGCACCUCACAUUUAUCAACAUUAAACACCAUCUGCCAUCUUUCAGCCCAUUCUUCCAAAUGCCUAAAUCACUCUGUAGACUUUGGAAAUCCUCGUCAUUAUCCACAACACCCCCUAUCUUGGUGUCAUCUGCAAACUUACUAAUCCAAUUUACCACACCUUCAUCCAGAUCAUUGAUGUACAUGACAAACAACAAAGGACUCAACACCGAUCCCUGAGGCACCCCACUAGUCACCUGCCUCCAACCCGACAAACAACCAUCCACCAUUACCCUCUGGCUUCUCCCAUUCAGCUACUGUUGAAUCCAUCUUGCUACUCCUGCAUUUAUACACAACAGUUGAACCUUCUUAACCAACCUUCCAUGAGGAACCUUGUCAAAGGCCUUACUAAAGUCCAUAUAGACAACAUCCACUGCUUUACCCUCGUCAAUUUCCCUAGUAACCUCUUCAAAAAAUUCAAGAAGAUUAGUCAAACAUGACCUUCCAGGCACAAAUCCAUGCUGACUGUUCCUAAUCAGACCCUGUUUAUCCAGAUGCUUAUAUAUAUUAUCUCUAAAUAUCUUUUCCAUUAAUUUGCCCACCACUGAAGUCAAACUAACAGGCCUAUAAUUGCUAGGUUUACUCUUAGAACCCUUUUUAAACAAUGGAACAACAUGCGCAGUAUGC
Molecule: long non-coding RNA, 3333 nt
Organism: Leucoraja erinaceus (little skate)
Lineage: Eukaryota; Metazoa; Chordata; Chondrichthyes; Rajiformes; Rajidae
Exons: 3
Source: RefSeq, a predicted model, not a curated record